GACGAACGCUGGCGGCGUGCUUAACACAUGCAAGUCGAGCGGUAAGGCCCUUUCGGGGGUACACGAGCGGCGAACGGGUGAGUAACACGUGGGUGACCUGCCCUCAGCUCUGGGAUAAGCCUGGGAAACCGGGUCUAAUACUGGAUAUGACUCCAUGACGCAUGUUGUGGGGUGGAAAGCCUUGUGCGGCUGAGGAUGGGCCCGCGGCCUAUCAGCUUGUUGGUGGGGUGANGGCCUACCAAGGCGACGACGGGUAGCCGGCCUGAGAGGGCGACCGGCCACACUGGGACUGAGACACGGCCCAGACUCCUACGGGAGGCAGCAGUGGGGAAUCUUGCGCAAUGGGCGAAAGCCUGACGCAGCGACGCCGCGUGAGGGAUGACGGCCCUCGGGUUGUAAACCUCUUUCAGCUCCGACGAAGCGAGAGUGACGGUAGGAGCAGAAGAAGC
RNAcentral lists this ribosomal RNA (449 nucleotides) under uncultured bacterium. RNAcentral describes it as "bacterial SSU rRNA". It matches the Rfam family "Bacterial small subunit ribosomal RNA", at positions 28 to 491 of the family's 1533-position model. The record is from RNAcentral.